AUGAGGCUGCUGGGUCUUCUCCUGUGCCUGGUGACAGCCCCCCAAGGUGUCCUGUCCCAGGUGCAGCUGCAGGAGUCGGGCACAGGACUGGUGAAGCCCUCGCAGACCCUGUCCCUCACCUGCACUGUCUCUGGAUUCUCUUUAACCAGCUACAGUGUACACUGGGGACAGCAGCCGGGCACUCCAUCUGCUGACAGGACUGGUCAAGCUCUGGGCUGGUGGACCUCACCCCGUCAUCUCUGGGUCCACACGGAUUCCCAGGAAGAGCUGUCAGCUCAGUGCUCCAAACAGAGGGAUCCCCCACCUCCAUCCUCCAGGGACCCCUGUGUCCUGCAAGAAGCAGUCCCAGCACCCCGGUAG
Non-coding RNA from Hipposideros armiger (great roundleaf bat), 360 nucleotides. Lineage: Eukaryota; Metazoa; Chordata; Mammalia; Chiroptera; Hipposideridae. The record is from the annotation of a RefSeq genome assembly.